Molecule: ribosomal RNA, 774 nt
Filed under: uncultured Neocallimastigales
Lineage: Eukaryota; Fungi; Neocallimastigomycota; Neocallimastigomycetes; Neocallimastigales
Description: partial large subunit ribosomal RNA
Rfam family: Eukaryotic large subunit ribosomal RNA
Source: RNAcentral
GUACACGCUGUGACUAGCAUAUCAAUAAGCGGAGGAAAAGAAACUAACAAGGAUUCCCCUAGUAACGGCGAGUGAAGCGGGAAGAGCUCAAAUUUGAAAUCUUAAAGGGUUUCCCUUUACGAAUUGUAGUUUAAAGAAGUGUUUUCUGUUGAGGUUUUGGUAAAAGUUCUUUGGAAUAGGAUAUCAUAGAGGGUGAGAAUCCCGUAUUUGACCUUUACUUUCAACUUUGUGAUACACUUUCAAAGAGUCGGAUUGUUUGGGAAUGCAGUCCAAAAUGGGUGGUAAAUUUCAUCUAAAGCUAAAUAUUGGCGAGAGACCGAUAGCGAACAAGUACCGUGAGGGAAAGAUGAAAAGAACUUUGAAAAGAGAGUUAAACAGUACGUGAAAUUGUCAAAAGGGAAGCGUUUGACACCAGUGUUGUUUUUCUGAAAAUCAAUUAAAGAACUGUUUAUGCUAAGCUGUUUAGACUUUAUCAGCUAUCUGUUUAGUUUUGAGCUUUUCUUUAAUGCACUUUUCAGUUAACAAGUCAACAUCUAUUUCUUUUGCUGUAAAAAAGCUUGAGGAAGGUGGCUUGAGAUUCGUCUUAAGUGUUUAUAGCCUCUUGCCUAUGCAGUCGGAGAGAUUGAGGUCUGCAGCGUAGAUCCUUCGGGGCUAAAUGCAUUUGUGCUAAGUUAUAGCAUUUUAUAGACAACUUGUUGACUAUGAUUUGUCUUGUAGCUUACUCGCUUAUGUUAUUUUACCUACGCUUAGGAUGUUGAAGAUGUAGCACAUCAU